ACCCAUAGCAUAUGGAAGUUCCCAGGCUAGGGGCUGAAUGAGAGCUACAGCUGCUGGUCUACACCACAGCCACAGCAAUGCCAGAUCCAAGCCACAUCUGCAACCUAUACCACAGCUCACAGCAAUGCCAGAUCCUUAACCCACUGAGUGAGGCCAAGGAUUGAACCCACACCCUCAUGGAUACUAGACAGGUUCACAACCUGCUGAGCCACAAUGGGAACUACUAGAAUGAAUAUUUUCGAAUUUUACAAAAGACCCCAAAUAGCCAAAGUAAUCUUGAGAAAGAAAAAUGGAGCUGGAGAACUCAGGAUCCCUGACUUCAGAUUACACUACAAAGCUAUAGUCAUUAAAACAGUAUGUUACUGGAACAAAAAACAGAUAGAGAUCAAGGGAACAGCAUUAAAAUCUCAGAAAUAAACCCACAUACCUAUGGUCAAUUAAUCUACAACAAAGGAGGCAAGAAUAUACAAUGGAGAAAAGACAACUUCUUCAAUAAGUGGUACUGGGAAACCUGGACAGCUACAUGCAAAAUAAUGAAAUUAGAACACUAACCCCAUGCACAAAAAUAAACUCAAAAUAGAUCAAAGAUCUAAACAUAAGACCAGAUACUAUAAAACUGUUAGAAGAAAAUGGCAGAACACUCUUUGACAGAAGUACCUAGCAUUCUUUCUUGAUUCACUUCCUAGAGUAAUGAAAAUAAAAACAAAAAUAAAUAAAUAGGACCUAAUUAAACUUAAGAACUUUUGCACAGCAAAGGGAACCAUAAACAAAAUGAAAAGACAAUACACAAAAUGGGAGAAAAUAUUUGAAAUGAAGUGACUGACAAGGGAUUAACCUCCAAAGUGCAUGAAAGACUCAAGCAGUUAAAUACCAAAAAAAAAAAAAAAAAAAGCCAAAUGGCCCAAUCAAAAAUUGUGCAGAAGACAUUUGUUCAAAGAAGACAUACAGAUGCACACAAAACACAUGAAAAGAUGCUCAACAUUGCUAAUUAUUAGAGAAAUGCAAAUCAAAAAUACAAUGGGGUAUCACCUCGCCCCAGUCAGAAUGGCCAACAUCAAAAAAAUCUACAAACAGUAAAUGCUGGAGAGGGUAUAGAGAAAAGGAAACCCUCCUAUACUGUUGGUGAAAAUGUAAGCUGGCACGACCACUAUGGAGAACAGUAUGGAGGUUCAAUCAAAAACUAAAAGUAGAACUACUGUAUGAUCCAGCAAUCCCACUCCUGGGCAUACACCCAGAGAGAACCAUAAUUCAAAGAGACAUACAAUCCAAUGUUCAUUGUGUCAUUAUUUACAAUAGCCAAAACAUGGAGGCAACCUAAAUAUCUACUGACAGAGGACUGGAUAAAGAAGAUGUGGUACAUAGAUACUGUGGAAUAUUACUCAGCCAUAAAAAAGAAUGAAAUAUUGCUAUUUGCAGCCAGAUGGAUAUAGCUAGAAAUUAUCAUACUGAGUGAAGUAAGUCAGACAAAGACAAAUAUCAUAUGAGAUCACUUAUAUGUGGAAUCUAAUAAAAAUGAUACAAAAGAACUUAUAAAACAUAAACAGACUAAAAGAUUUUGAAACCAAAUUCAUGGUUACCAAAGGGGAAAUGUGGUAGGAGGGAUAAAUAAGAGCUUGAGAUUGACAUAUACACAAUACUAUACAUAAAAUAGGUAGGUAGCAAUAACCUACUAAAUAGCACAAGGAAAUGUACUCAAUAGUGUAUAAUAACAUGUGGUAAAAGAAUCUGAAAAGGAAUGGAUAUAUGUAUAGCUGAUUUACUGUGCUGCACAUCUGAAACUAACACAACUUUCUAAGUCAACUCUACUCCAAUAAAAUUUAUUUUAAAAAAAGAAAUCUAGGAGUUCCAAAGAAAUCUAGGAGUUCCAUGGAUACUAGACAAAUUUGACUAGUAUCCAUGAGGAUGCGGCUUUGUUCCCUGGCCUCGCUCAGUGGGUCAGGAAUCCACCAUUGCUAUAAGCUGUGGUAUAGGUCGCAGACAUGGCUGGGAUCCCAUGUGGCUGUGGCUGUGGCAUAGGGUGGCAGCUGUAGUUCCAAUGAGACCCCUAGCCUGGGAACUUCCAAAUGCCACAGGUGCGGCCCUAAAAAGACAAACAAAAACAAAAACAAAAAAACCAAAAAACAAAAACAAGAAAAGAAAUCUAAACCUGAGUGAAGUCCCCCUGCAUCAUUACUUACAGAUUCCCUCCCCAAAGACCAACUGCAAAGUAUUACUGAGAACAUCCAUUAUCUGCCUCUUUGGAGAAUAAAGGAAAUAAUUAAUUAUCUCUGGUUUAAAAAUGGUCACGACCUUUCCCCAAGCUCCUCCCCACCACUGUCUACUUGGAUCUGCCUUCCCUUCUUGUAUGGCACCAGCCUACCACCAUGUGCCAUCUGUCAGCGUCUGCCUGCAACACGUGAAGCUUCUUAAGAAUCUGAGUAUCAUUUUAGAUCCUAUUUUUCAGGUUAAAAGCAGUAAAUUGCAGAUGGCAAGUUUUUUUUUUUUUUUCCCUUGAGAUUACUGAAAGCUGAGGUAAUUUUAUCGUGAGUCACAUUAAAAAAAGAACAAGUGAUGUUACACAGCACCUACUCAACAUGAAUAUGCGCAAAGAACAGCUCACCCAGUCACCCAUUGAGCAAAGGAGGGAAGGCAUUUGCUUUGCUUUAAGGUGACAGAUUUUGGAGUGAGAGAGUGUGUGCAGCUCAAUAUGCCCUGUAAGCACAAUCGGAAACCAUGUGCGAAGAUGCAGGUGAAAAAAAGCAACCAAACUGGUGGAGCACCUCCAAUGUGCUGAAUUACGGAAGGUGCUACAGAGAACUGACUCAUUAAAAAAGCUGGGGAGGGGUGACCUAGGUCAGGGAAAGGACUAAAAUCAUUAUGGCAAGAUUUUUUUCACAGCCUAUGAUCAGAAUUUGUGUAAAAAAAAGUUUUUAUUUCUCUUUGUCUAUAUUUGUUUCUAAAUUCUGGAUGUAAACAUUCCAGCUUCAACUUAAUUGUUGAAUUUUAAGACGCCCUUGAACCACGUUUCAUUGUUUGAAAUGAAACCACUCUGUAAGCAUCCUCAAAGGAGACCUCCUGCAGCAGAGGUUAAAGUUGAUAAAGAAAAGCUUAGGCAAUGCUGGAGCCCAAGAAAGGAAGAGGUUGCCUCAACUUUUAACCAGCUAUGAGAAUGUACUCCAAGUCAUUUCACUCCACUGAACUUCAAUAGGUUCUAAAGAGGCCUGAGUUGAUAACAGGGAUGAUUCUUGGUAGGUUUAUAUCCUAUAAUCCAUCUCUUUCUAAGAGAUUUUAUAUUGAAUCCUUCAGUAGAUGAUAUUUGAAAGUUUCUGCAGCCUUGAACUCUUCAAUUCACUUAAAAUAACCCAUGGAUGGUUCCUUACUGGAGUCAACCUAUAUCCUCGUUUUCCACUGCAAAUUUUAGAACACAGCAUAGGACACUUAUGACUAUUUGACUAAGCUGCUAUCCUCAAAGCUGGGCCCUGAUGAAUGAUAAAUCUAAGACACAGAAACAAAUGAUAACAGUAAAGAAAGGUAAUUAUGAUGUAGAUGAGACAAGGAAAUUUCUUUCCUAAUGACAUUAAACCAUGUGUUCCAAAGAAUCCUUUCUGGGUUGCAGCAAUAAAAGCCUUGAUCAGCUUCAGUCAUUAGGUAACAGGUGUUUGUGAGGUUCUCACUCUCUACCCUAAAUUUAUCCCAUAUUAACUAAUCCAUGAAUCUCACUAUUACCUAUGCAGGGAUAGUGUCUUAAAGCAAAUAUAUCAAAGUAUCAAUUAGUAAUAACUUCUGUGUUUUAGAAAGGUGCAAGGUACCUUAUCAGAGCCUUUCCCCAGUGACUUGAUUUGAACAUUUUUUUCUUUGAACACUGGUUUUGAUUGUAGUGAAGUAGAAAGAAAUACUUCUGAGAAAGAAUAAAUCUAGAGGAAAGUCUGUGGGCAUAAAGGAGGGGAAUAAACCAAUCAAGCAUCUGAGUGAUAGUAGAGUAAGGAGCUGACAACAGGAAGACGUGAUGGAAACAGAAACGAAAAUUAUUAUCUUUUCAAUGUAACCAAAAGCACAACUUUAUAAAAAAAAAAAAAGGACCUGUUUCCAAGAAUGGAUCUUUACUUAAUUGCCAUGCCCUUCUCAGCCUAGCCUUAACUGGCAUAGUGGCAGCUCAGGAAAACAAUAUGCAAAUAGGCAAUUUCCAAGUGGCAAUAAGUGAAAAGUGGCCCUUGCUAGGUUCCAUUACAAACACCUUUCUCCUAUAAAACCUUUCUCAUUUGUUAUGACUUCCUUUGUAUUUUCACAACCCUCGGCUCCAUCAUCCUUCCCAACAAAGCAGCCCCAAAUUCUUAUACUGGUCUGGGAAUGUGAAAUCUGACUCUCUUAUCAAACAAUGGCACAUAUGUCUGGGGGCUCCAAAAAGGCUUCAGGAGUGUUUCCCUAGGCAGCAAUGGGGUAACUAUUACAAUCUAGGUGGGGAAUCUAUGAGUAGGGUAUCUUCUGGCUCAUGUAGCUACACCACAUGACAAGAUGAACAUUUGCUGCUCUCUCUAGUUAUACAAACACACACACACACACACACAAUGAGGCACAAUACCAAUCUAUGCUGGUGAAAAAUAAGGCCCCUGGAAUGUUGGAAACCUCAGAUUAGCCAAAAAGCAAUCACAGCAUUGUCCAUUUCUUUUCUGAUUUCUACAGCGAUCCUAGGCCAGCUCAGGCUGAUAAGGCUCCAAUUUAUUCCUGGAAGUCACAGUGCUUGAUUAGUGCCUUCAGAAAACAUCCUUCUUUGAGAAGACAGUCUGAUAGAAAUUUAGAUUCAGUACUGAAACCAAAGUGAGAACAUUUAGCUAUACAUAUAUGUCACAAUGCCAUUGUUUUUCUACGUUACUGCUAUGUCUUGAAAAUCAAGAAAGAUUUUAUUAAGACCUAAAGGGUUCUAAGCAGGUCCUUUUUCUAAGCAGAGAGAGAGAGCCAUUACUAAAGGUAAAAAAGUGACAAGACCACCACCA
This 4970-nucleotide long non-coding RNA is filed under the name Sus scrofa (pig). Its description in RNAcentral is "lncRNA (ENSSSCG00060043331.1)". Lineage: Eukaryota; Metazoa; Chordata; Mammalia; Artiodactyla; Suidae. The record is from RNAcentral.